UGGGUAACCUGCCCGGAAGUGGGGAAUACCUCGGGGAAACUCGAGCUAAUACCGCAUGACAUCUUUAGGACGAAAGUCCUGACGAUCAAAGCGGGGUCGCAAGAUCUCGCGCUACCGGAUGGGCCCGCGCCCGAUUAGCUAGUUGGUGUGGGUAAUGGCCCACCAAGGCGACGACGGGUAGCCGGCCUGAGAGGGUGACCGGCCACACUGGGACUGAGACACGGCCCAGACUCCUACGGGAGGCAG
Molecule: ribosomal RNA, 246 nt
Filed under: uncultured bacterium
Lineage: Bacteria
Description: partial 16S ribosomal RNA
Rfam family: Bacterial small subunit ribosomal RNA
Source: RNAcentral